RNAcentral lists this ribosomal RNA (377 nucleotides) under uncultured bacterium. RNAcentral's name for it is "bacterial SSU rRNA". It matches the Rfam family "Bacterial small subunit ribosomal RNA", at positions 92 to 507 of the family's 1533-position model. The record is from RNAcentral.
CGAGCGGCGGACGGCAGAGUACGCGUAGGAACACUACCCAACUGGAGGAUAACUGCUCGAAAGAGUAGCUAAUACCGCAUGUGAUCUUCGGAUUAAAGCUUCGGCGGUUUGGGAAUGGCCUGCGUCCGAUUAGCUUGUUGGUGAGGUAAAAGCUCACCAAGGCGACGAUCGGUAGCUGGUCUGAGAGGAUGAUCAGCCUGACUGGAACUGAGAACGGUCCAGACUCCUACGGGAGGCAGCAGUAGGGAAUUUUCCACAAUGGGCGAAAGCCUGAUGGAGCAACGCCGCGUGCAGGAUGAAUGCCUUCGGGUUGUAAACUGCUUUUAUUAGUGAAGAAUAUGACGGUAACUAAUGAAUAAGGGUCGGCUAACUACGUG